This 72-nucleotide transfer RNA is filed under the name Camelus bactrianus (Bactrian camel). It matches the Rfam family "tRNA". From Rfam's summary of the family: Transfer RNA (tRNA) molecules are approximately 80 nucleotides in length. Their secondary structure includes four short double-helical elements and three loops (D, anti-codon, and T loops). The record is from Rfam by way of RNAcentral. RNAcentral also lists the same sequence under 1 other name. Lineage: Eukaryota; Metazoa; Chordata; Mammalia; Artiodactyla; Camelidae.
GAGGGUACAGCUCAGUGGUAGAGCACAUGCUUAGCGUGCACGAGGUCCUGGGUUCAAUCCCCGGUACCUCCA